GGUUGUAGAAGAGCCCCAGUAUUAAUCAUUGUAGCAGCAGCAAUGUGAGAUGUGAGUUGCCGUACAGGAAAGAGAAGCCUACUGAGAUACAACAAGAAAGCAAUUAAGAAACAACAUGCAGAAGGACAGCAUGGCUUCUGUGCCAAGUCUUUUGAUGGAGAACAAAAUUGUGAAGAAAUUCAAAAACUAAUCUCAACACUUAGGAUCUCAAAAGCAGAUGCUCCAAUAUAUACUGAAAGUAUUGCAAGAUUGAAAAAUCCAACCUGCGAUUUCACAGGAAAUAAGAAAUUACUGCAUAACAUUGUUUGGUAAAAAUUGUAUUAAGACAAUACAAGAAUAGUUUCCAACACAAAUGUUGAAGUGUGUAUUGUAUUAUAAGCUCAACUGUACCUUCUUCUUAAAAGCCUCAUUAAAAAGGUUAUUUCUGGUUCAGAUAUUGCAUGCUUGAGCUGUGACAGCAAAAUUUACUUUUCCCCACAUUUGAAGUGAUUUGGAAAAGCUAUUUUUGAUACAGAGGCCUCAAAAAAAGGUGUUGCUCAUCUUGUUCCAAAUUUGCUCUAAAACUUUCUUAACCUGGUCUAUCUCAAAAGCAGCUUAUCUUAAAAACUGAAAAGGGAGGGUAUUUGAAAAAUUGUGUUGAGGUUUAGCAUAAAGGGACAUUCUUCAGAGGAAGGAAAGUUUGUGUAAGGAGUUAUUUACUAGUAAACCAGAAAUGUCAGAAUAAACUAUCAGACACCAACA
RNAcentral lists this long non-coding RNA (741 nucleotides) under Anas platyrhynchos platyrhynchos (common mallard). RNAcentral describes it as "lncRNA (ENSAPLG00000017000.1)". The record is from RNAcentral. Lineage: Eukaryota; Metazoa; Chordata; Aves; Anseriformes; Anatidae.